GCCCAGUGGAAAACUUGCUCAGUCCUGCUGUUCUAUGACAAAAGAUGUGAUGCUUUAACUCCGGGAAGUAACAGACAGCACAGACCUGACCAUAUCAGAAUAUCAACAUUACCUAUGAUUGUCAUAGGAUCACUUCAAAAAAGGGGCAACGAGACAGAUCAUAAUGUGAGAAGUGGAAACUCCUUAAGAACAAGGAAAAUCUUUAUAAUCCUGCUGAAGAAGCUCCCUGAAUAUCUGGAUCUAAGAAUGACCCGAAGGUUUACCAAGUUCCAGAUUAGAGUCCAUCCCUGAUCCUUACGCGUGCGUGGGUGCACUCAAAUCUCAUUUCUGCCCAGCUGUCUUAUUCCUGCUUAAUUUUCCUCAACUAAGACCUGUGCAGAAGGAAGAGUUAAGUCUGUCUUCAGAAGAUUCUGUCUGACUGAGUUUCUGGAAUUUGGAGUUUAUUGGUCUCCAGCCAACAUCACUUACCCUCAUAAAUAUGGACCACAAAGCCUUUUCUGCCCCCGCGAUGGAGCUCAUGAACUGAGAGAGGAAUUAUCAUGAAGCCAAGUAGCAAGGGACACAGCUCAUACCUCAAGAGGGAGCUGAAUGAAAUUUCAGUUUCAAAGAAUGGGAAAAUGUGAGCUCCAGGCCAGAAGUAGCUGGAUCAAGAGAGUUUGUCUAGUGGUCUAGUGGCUUCAAAAAAAUCAUAGCUCAUGAAAAUUUUCUUCAACAGAAAAAUGUCCUGCCGUAGAAAUUACCAGGAAUCAAACUCACGACCUUGUGCUUUCCAGGCAGGCACUGUCCCGCUAAGCUAAAUCCCCAGCCCCCUCACUUGUUUUCCUAUUGGCAGAGUUCAACAGGAAAAGCACAAGAUUAUAUUCCAGGUAUAAUAUAAGCAACUUUAAAGAAGUUCCUACAAUAUUCCAGGGAUACUAUGAAUAGGUGAUAAAUGGCUCACAGGCCCAGAAGAUCUGGUUAUAAUUCUAAGCUCCUUCACUGUUCCAACAGUUUCCUGUGGCCUGAAAGCCAAGGUCUUCUUGACUGUAAAAAGGCCGGGAGAGUGCAUACAAACUCCACUUCACUGCAUUUAGUGGACAACUUCCGUUUGAGAAAAAUGAACAUAGAAUACCAACCAGGGUCUGUUUCUCACAGGAGACAGUGACAACAGUUGUUCUAAAGCUCCUAUGUGAGGAUUAUAAAUCUGUGCUUUGGAUCCUCCUAUAUCAUUGAAGGUGGAUGUAGAUUAUUCUUCCUGGACAUUUUCAUCAGCAGCAUCCAGUAAGGCAUGAUGAUAGUUAUCCAAAUGUAACAGAUAUGAUAGGUCCCUAUUCAAACUUAGUUUUUCUCUUGCUACUGCAGUUAAAUUUUUUUCAGGCCAUCCUCUUGGUAAAAUGAUGCAGUUUUUUUGCUCCAGACAUUACAGUAGAAGCCAUGGGAAAUACCUUUGUUUGCUUCGUUUAUUUAUUUUUCUGGUAGCUCUGGAGUUGUCAUCAUUUGAGCAAAGAAAGACCCUUGAUCUGAGUUCACUGAUGGACAAGAUGUUGUCUUUCUUACCCCUUUGACAGCUGACACUAUGUCUGCUUUUCUUAACUUAUCUGUAUCAUCUGUUCUUAUUUUGUCAGAAAAAAGAAAAAAAUGACAUUGUCAUAAAUUGAUAUUUAUAUUGCACUAACUUGUCAGAGGAAAAAAAAAUCCAGUUGUUGAAGAUUUGAAGGAAUUAAACCGUUGUGCAGAUAUGUGAAAGUAAUUAAGAACCCUAUUACCAAAAAUGUAUUUUAAUAAAUAAACUUCUUACCUUGAGUCUGGUAAA
Molecule: long non-coding RNA, 1792 nt
Organism: Chinchilla lanigera (long-tailed chinchilla)
Lineage: Eukaryota; Metazoa; Chordata; Mammalia; Rodentia; Chinchillidae
Exons: 7
Source: RefSeq, a predicted model, not a curated record